ACGAACUCGACUUGCUCCAUGGCGUCCCCCUGCAUCGAGUUGGAAUACCUAGUUGAUUUAAAUUAUACUAAGAUCUUUGAUGUGAACCUAAAUAGUGGAAUUAAUACAUGCAGCACAAAAUAUAGGUCCGCAGUUUCUGAAAUCCAACCAAAAAAAAGAAGUAGGUUGUCUACCAGGCCAUGCCUUGUACCUUCAGUUCGGUUUCAACUCUGGUAUGAUGUCCCAUGAGAGGAACAAAAAUACAACGAAGUCAAAUAUUGUCGUCGGUAGGACCUUACCUGCCAAUUCAAAAAAGAUAAUGCUAACUUAUCAUGGGAUCAUCAUCAAGAACAUGCACACUGCUGUUCAAAUUCUUACUAUGGCAGGCAUUAUGUUAUUGUUCAACGAUGAGUAAAUAUUUUUUGGGAUAAUGAACAAAAAGAGAUGGUUCAAACUCUAGACCCAGAAAUGGAUGGUUGCAAAUCGAUAGGGUGUAUACUGUUCUAGGUACAUAAUAUUGGGAAAAACAC
This 509-nucleotide long non-coding RNA is filed under the name Triticum aestivum (bread wheat). Its description in RNAcentral is "long non-coding RNA (TAES_LNC014271)". The record is from RNAcentral. Lineage: Eukaryota; Viridiplantae; Streptophyta; Magnoliopsida; Poales; Poaceae.